GGUAGUGUGGCCGAGUGGUCAAAGGCGCUGGUUUCUGGUACCAGUCUCAUCGGAGGAGUGGGUUCGAAUCCCAUCGCUGUCA
Non-coding RNA from Uloborus diversus, 82 nucleotides. The record is from the annotation of a RefSeq genome assembly. Lineage: Eukaryota; Metazoa; Arthropoda; Arachnida; Araneae; Uloboridae.